GUGGAACACAGGAGCUGCCAGGUCACAGAGAUGAGAGGUCAGAAUUGGCUCCAGGGCAACGGAAGACCAGUGCAGGAUGAAGUCACAGGGAACAGAAACCGGAGCCACAGAGGACAGGGCAACCCAGCCUGCAAGCAAACUGUCCUGCUUUGGACCCUGCUGUGUCACUCUCCGCACCAGCCUUUGCCUCUGCUCUUCGCUCUAUGAAGUCCUCCCAGGCUGCACGGAAGGACGACUUUCUCAGGUAAAGAACCGCAGUCAUCGAACUGGAGUCCCAUUGAUUCCCUCCCCCUCGCCGCCCCAAAUCUGGCACCUGCCCAAGUAAAAAGUUAUGACACCAAGCACAGUGCUCCGAAGGCGGAGGCGGAUGAGCGCGGGAGGUCUCCGUAGGCGACGCCCUCCCACCCCUUCCCUUGUUCUCAUGGCACUCCUAGCUACUGGCAAAGGUAGACGCGCCAGUUUCUGCUGCUCCCCCACGGAAUGGAAGCCCCAGAGGGCAGGGACCUAGUCUGUCACGUCCCAGGCCUCACCCCAGCUCCUCUGAGGCCCGGGUGCUGGGUCGAGGCAUAUGCCGGGCUGCGCGGGUGGCGGGGGAGGGGGAGCCCUGGAGCGCGGCCCCAGUCCUGGGAGGGAGAGGUGUCCUUCGAGGAAAGGGACAGAAGAAAGUUGAGGACAGAGGUCCAAGGGGAAGAAAGAGGGAAAGGAUCGGCGUGAGGAGGACGUCCGGGCGGGGUGGGGAGGGUCCCCCGCGGGGUCGGGCCCACGGGCUUUCUAGGACGCGUCGCCGCUCAGGGCCACGGGUGUGCUGUCAGCUCCCGUCCGGCCGCCCGGACGCUGUAACCUCCUCCGAGGCUGGCCCUUCUGGCUCGAGACAAGCUCGGGCCUGGCACGGAGCAGCAGGAAGGGCGGGAGAUUGCCCCUAGUGGACUCCAAGUCCAGCUCCUGUCCCUGGGCACGUCUCGACACUUGCUGGGUCACGGAGGAAACCGGGUCUUGGACCCCAGCCAGCACGGGCGCCCCCCUCGGCUUCGCUCCCUUUACCCAGCGGUGGCCUCGGAGGCCCGGUUGGGGCGCGCCGCUCACCUGGAGAGGAGGCUAGGGGUCGGGGGACGCGCGCGCCCUUAGGCCCCACUCCUGUCUUCUGCCCUUUUUAUUCUCCCCCGCACCCUGGGGCGGGCGGCGCGGGGCCAGUGUUUGCGAGUGUCACCUGCUUUGGUAAGUAGGUGGGCGAGUGACGCAUCGCGGCGUCGGCGCCGCCUUCCAGGCGCUCUCUCUGCCUCCAGAGGCGCCGGCACUGCGGGGCCCCAGUCAUGCCCGCUGCCUCAGUCUUCCAACCCGAAAAGUGGGUGGGCGAAGGAAAGCUCGGCCGAGCUGCGUCUCCAACUCCCUGCUCUCCCCUAGGGGAGCCCACCAGCUCCAAUCGCGACCUCUUCUGUCCCCAAACCACAGACCCUAGGCCGCCUCGGGGACCCGGAUAUGGAAGGGGCGGUGGAGAGCCCUGGCCUUGAUUCUCCCUGGGUCGGGAGGGCGUUCCGGCGGCCGUGGGGCUGCAGCCCUUCCUCCCCGCCUGGAAGGUGAGGGUGUGGGAGGAGCGGGAGGGGGCGAGGCCGACCCAAGUCCCGUGCGACCAGCGGCGGAGCCCAGAGCCAGGCUAGGAGCGCGCUCAGGCGAGCUCGGGUGAAGGCCGAGAAGGUUCAUCGGAGGCGGCGGCGAGCCGAGACCAGGAGACAGACGGGGCGGGGUGACGAGGCGGGCCCCACCCCAGGAGCGCGGGGCCACACGGACACCGG
RNAcentral lists this long non-coding RNA (1790 nucleotides) under Pan troglodytes (chimpanzee). RNAcentral describes it as "long non-coding RNA NONPTRT002269". Lineage: Eukaryota; Metazoa; Chordata; Mammalia; Primates; Hominidae. The record is from RNAcentral.